AGUGAACGCUGGCGGCAGGCCUAACACAUGCAAGUCGAGCGGAAACACAGUAAGAUCUUGCUCUUACGGUUGGCGAGUGGCGGGCGGGUGAGGAAUAGAUCGGAAUCUACUUUUUCGGGGGGGACAACGGAGGGAAACAUACGCUAAUACCGCAUACGUCCAACCGCUGAGUUCAAGAGAGCAUGGGACCUUUGCCGAUUGUAUUAGCCGAUUCCGGAUUAGCUAGUUGGCGGGGUAAGGGCCCACCAAGGCAACGAUCCGUAGCUGGCCUGAGAGGAUGAUCAGCCACACUGGAACUGAGACACGGUCCAGACUCCUACGGGAGGCAGCAGUGGGGAAUCUUGGACAAUGGGCGCAAGCCUGACGGAGCCAUGCCGCGUGAGUGAAGAAGGUCUUCGGGUCGUAAAGCUCUUUUAUUAGGAAAGAAAAGAAGUAGAUUUAUACCUCGCUGUCCUGACGGUACCCAAACAAUAAGCCCCGGCUAACUUCGUG
Molecule: ribosomal RNA, 492 nt
Filed under: uncultured bacterium
Lineage: Bacteria
Description: partial 16S ribosomal RNA
Rfam family: Bacterial small subunit ribosomal RNA
Source: RNAcentral